Molecule: ribosomal RNA, 245 nt
Filed under: uncultured bacterium
Lineage: Bacteria
Description: partial 16S ribosomal RNA
Rfam family: Bacterial small subunit ribosomal RNA
Source: RNAcentral
UACGUAGGGUGCGAGCGUUGUUCGGAAUUACUGGGCGUAAAGGGAGCGUAGGCGGAAUUAUAAGUUAGAAGUUUAAUGUACGGGCUUAACCCGUAAUCUGCUUCUAAUACUGUUUUUCUUGAAUAUGGGAGAGGACGAUGGAAUUCCAGGUGUAGCGGUGGAAUGCGUAGAUAUCUGGAAGAACACCAGCAGCGAAGGCGGUCGUCUGGCCCAAUAUUGACGCUGAGGCUCGAAAGCUAGGGGAG